UCCUGAGAGAUCCAGCUGGUGGCCCUCGGGGGACUGUCAGAGUCAUGUUGAAAUGGAAGUACCCCUUUCAGCUGCCGGUGGACGCACUGCGGGGUGGACAGGAGGAGCAGGACAGAGCGAUGAGGAGCACUCAGAGGGAGGAGCGAAGAGAAGAAGACUCACCGAGACCCAUAGCAAAGCCAAGAGUGAUGACCAGACAUCCUGAACCCAGAGACACUAAAUCUGUGCAGAAAGAGACAAAAGACUGGCCUCAGCCUCUGCUUGUACAACAGAAAAGCUCACAGCACAUACGAUCGGAGCAAAUCACCUCUGUGAAACCUCUGGAUACUCGUCCGUCAGCAGACAGGAGGAGAUCGAGCAGGAGGUCAGCAGAAGUGUGCCAGAAAACACCUGAUCUGACGCCGGAGCCAAGAUCAAAACUACACAAACAGAAGUAAGAUACACUUCAUUUGUGUACAAUAUAUAUGUCUAUAUUUAUGUUUAAAAUAUGUAAAUA
Molecule: long non-coding RNA, 496 nt
Organism: Nematolebias whitei (Rio pearlfish)
Lineage: Eukaryota; Metazoa; Chordata; Actinopteri; Cyprinodontiformes; Rivulidae
Exons: 3
Source: RefSeq, a predicted model, not a curated record